This is a long non-coding RNA of Osmia bicornis bicornis, 1466 nucleotides long. RefSeq lists it as uncharacterized. The transcript has 3 exons. The record is from RefSeq and is a predicted model, not a curated record. Lineage: Eukaryota; Metazoa; Arthropoda; Insecta; Hymenoptera; Megachilidae.
GGUGCUUACUUGCGACAGUGAGUAAUGAGUAAAAUGAAUCAACCACAAUGUUUUCAAUAACAAUUCUAUAUUACACAUGUGUUAAAUGCUACCCUGAAGAACCGAAGGAAUGUGCAAUCUGAACAGAAACAAAUGACAGUUGUUGGAUUAAGUUGGAUUAAGUUGGUAAAAGAGGCGCUGCCGUCGGUGGCGUGAAUAGUUUUUUGUUCUGUACUACGAUGUAUAAUAAAAUUUGUUGUACAUACAUACAUAUAUUCUCUCAAGCGUGCGUAUGAAGUCUAGAAAACCAAAGAAUACUUUAUUUUAUUUUAUUUUUUUGUAAUACGCGCGAAGUAUAUUAUGUCAUUGUUGUUUUGUUUGUGCUAAUAAAGCAGUAUUAUAUACUCACGUCGACUCCUUGUUAUUUGUAAGUUGAAUCCUGUGCAACAACAGUCUAACUAUAUUAAGGGGGGACCUCUAUGUAGAAGGUGUCAAAAAAGUCUUUUUUUUUUAUUGCUUAAAAAGUUACUUUGAACCCUCUAGAAUACGAAACGCAUUGGUAUUUGGCGUGGAGCACAAAGCUAUUGCUGUGAGAGCCUGCACCCGUGACCCACCUCCGCUCCGUUCCAAGACGCGCGCGCUGGUAUAAUGACCGGGGCGCUGUUUAUUUACUAUCCCUUUUGAAGUGCUUCUAUACCUGUAAUAGGGGUUAGUCAGAUGUUUCGGAAGAAGUAUUUAUGCGGAAUUUUCAAAGUAAUGCAGGUGGCAUUUUUAAUGAAGGGUAUUUUUCAAUCUUAAAAAUAAUGCAAGAAUUAAAGCUGACAAUUGGAAAACAAGCGAUGGAUUAUGCCGAGAAAUCCAACGAGGCGCAGCUCGUUGUCCACAAAAGAGGCCCGCAAAGCACAUAGAGAACAGCUGGCGGAACAAAAUGACUAUUUUGAGGAAGCUGAAGGGUUAUUGUACGGUACUGGAAUAGCAGACUAGCCAGUAAGUCACAAAAUCAUACAUUUUUCUCUUACCGAAACUUUAAACGCGAUUUUCUCGAAACUUUUUUUCGCGAAGCUGAAAAUCGGUGUACACGAUUACUCAAAAACUACUCAACUGAUCGGACUGAAAUUUUGUACACAUUUUAAGGGUAGUAGUGUCUCCUGGAUGAACCUACAAGUAAGGUAAAAUCACAGAAAUAAACAUUUUUUUUACUGCAGAAAAGAGUACAGUGUUCCGUCAAAAUAAGUAAGCUUUUUGUUCUGAGGUCUGCCAUUUUUCCAAUUUUGAAUUUUUACUACAACUAUAUACUAAUCAGAUUUCUUUGCUUGGCUGUUUCGAAUAAUCAGAACCGACACUAGAGUGUAUACCGUUUUGCAAGAAACUUUACGACGCUUCGAACAUAUGCUGUAUCUCCGCCAUUUUGUAUUUUAUUUACACAAAAAAAUUGCAAAAUGAAGAUGAAGUAUCUAUUAAAUAGUCCUCAAAACCUUGAAAAUAUU